AGAGUUUGAUCCUGGCUCAGGACGAACGCUGGCGGCGUGCCUAAUACAUGCAAGUCGAGCGGACAGAUGGGAGCUUGCUCCCUGAUGUCAGCGGCGGACGGGUGAGUAACACGUGGGUAACCUGCCUGUAAGACUGGGAUAACUCCGGGAAACCGGGGCUAAUACCGGAUGCUUGAUUGAACCGCAUGGUUCAAUUAUAAAAGGUGGCUUCGGCUACCACUUACAGAUGGACCCGCGGCGCAUUAGCUAGUUGGUGAGGUAACGGCUCACCAAGGCGACGAUGCGUAGCCGACCUGAGAGGGUGAUCGGCCACACUGGGACUGAGACACGGCCCAGACUCCUACGGGAGGCAGCAGUAGGGAAUCUUCCGCAAUGGACGAAAGUCUGACGGAGCAACGCCGCGUGAGUGAUGAAGGUUUUCGGAUCGUAAAACUCUGUUGUUAGGGAAGAACAAGUACCGUUCGAAUAGGGCGGUACCUUGACGGUACCUAACCAGAAAGCCACGGCUAACUACGUGCCAGCAGCCGCGGUAAUACGUAGGUGGCAAGCGUUGUCCGGAAUUAUUGGGCGUAAAGCGCGCGCAGGCGGUUUCUUAAGUCUGAUGUGAAAGCCCCCGGCUCAACCGGGGAGGGUCAUUGGAAACUGGGGAACUUGAGUGCAGAAGAGGAGAGUGGAAUUCCACGUGUAGCGGUGUAAUGCGUAGAGAUGUGGAGGAACACCAGUGGCGAAGGCGACUCUCU
RNAcentral lists this ribosomal RNA (740 nucleotides) under Bacillus sp. SB6.1. RNAcentral's name for it is "bacterial SSU rRNA". It matches the Rfam family "Bacterial small subunit ribosomal RNA", at positions 8 to 730 of the family's 1533-position model. The record is from RNAcentral. Lineage: Bacteria; Bacillati; Bacillota; Bacilli; Caryophanales; Bacillaceae.